CACAACAUGCCCCACGACCCAUUGUCGCUACGACGGUCACUUCCAUCCUUCCACAUUCCAUAAAAGCGUGUGCCCCCACCUCUCUCCUAGCUCCCUUCGCGCCCACCACCCUUCAGUCCUCGUCCGCGCAGAGACGCAUACGAGGUGCACGCUCUGCAGCGCACAAGAGCGGCAACUGCGCGAAGGAACGCGAACGAUAGCCUUGGAGAAGGCGAAGACCGCGCGCGGCUCCGAACCAACUCCACAGACGCACGCGCACACGAGGGACGACAGGACGGAACCCUCGCCUCCUACUCACGCACCCUCCUCGGAUCGCCAUCAGGACCACACAUACAGGGAGAGAGGAAAAGCAACGGCGUGAGGUGAGCCGAAGCAGCCGCACAGAUCGUUGCCGGCGGGUGUGCACGCGUGGCGCGACACCACACGGCGUGCCAUCGGUCAGGAAGAGCGGAAUCGACCGGACCAUUUUUCUGUUGCUCGCGCGGGAGAGGUGAACUUGAUUGCGUGGGGGUUUGCUGGGCGCAAAAUCUUACAGCACGACGACGUACCCUCGCGUGUGCGCAGAGGGACGGGAGUGACGGCAGGUGCACAUACUACUCUGCCGCUCGUUGCACCUUCGCCACCACGACUGCCGCGCGCUCUUCGAUCUCCAAUCCUGCCUCUGCUGCUUUCUUUUCCCUGGCAGCGGUGCCUCCUGCUUCGACAGUAGAAAGUCAUGAGUCUCAGCUCGCAAGGUAGCACACCGUGGAAAUUCCGCGGCGAUGCCGCGGCGUCUGUUGGGGCCAUCACGGCGGUGGAGUUUGACCCCGAUGUGGAGCUGCUUUGGGUGUGCGACGCCUUCGGCACGCUCAUGAGCUUCUCGCUGCAGUCGCAGGGCCAGGGUGAGGCGCCGGCGUGGGUGAACUACUCCUCGUUCUCCGUCUCCAGCCGCCCUGCCACGAAUAUUUUUUUCCUCAACAUGGGUGGCGAGCGUAUGGUGACAGUGGCGGACCGGGAGGUGAUCCGCGGGUACAAGCGCGGUGGCGUGUUGAUGAUGUGCCUGCCGCAGCCCACCGCUGUGCAGAACUACAUCGACCUCUUCCAGGCUAACAGCAACACCGGCGCGAUGUUCUACACCGGCAACGCUGGCCUGACACGGCUGAUCCUCAACCACCAAGAGACGGACCAGCUCACCGUUCCGAUGGAGGCGACGGUGGUGGCUCUGAAGCAGUGCGACCGAUGGGUUGCCACCGGGAGCGCCUCUGGCGCCGUGUACGUGCGCAGUGCGUCUGAUCUUAGCGUGGUUGGCCAGGCUACCCCGUCGCGGAACCGCGUCAUGGCGCUGGAGGUGUUCGACAACACGGUGAUGGCGGCCUACUCGGAGCGGUCGGCGACGUCCUUUGUGAAGGUGUUCGAUGUGCGGAAAAUGCCGGAGGCGGUGUCGACGAUUCAGGACAUCCCGUCUGGCAAUGUGACACAGAUGCGCCGCUACCAGGACGGCUUCGGGCUGUCGAGCGACCGCGCCUUCCUGCUGUCGCCCGCAGGCUUCCACAUUAUCCAGCUGGAUCAGGAGAAGCCGGUGUUCUCGUCGAGCCCACUGAGCGAGGGCAGCUGCACCGCCGUGGCUGUCUCCCCGUCCAACAUGUGCGCCGCCAUCGGUAACGACAAGGGCACCUUCUACGCCCUCGCCCACCCAGCCACGCGAGACGACUACGUGAUGUCCACGUUUGUUCAGCCGGUGCGGCCAAAACACCCCGUCUACCACCACAGCUGGGAGGAGCCGAACAUCGCAGACGGCUUCGACGACUCGGUCGACCUCGGCACCCUCGCCUCCAACUGGCCGGAGGAGGACUACAUGAUCCUUACCGUACCGCAGAAGCUGCGGUGCGUCAACUACGAGUCGCACAGCAUUGUGCCGAACGAGUGGGGGCUGAUGCGGGCAGACAGCUGCCUGCCAGAUCCGAAGGACAAACUCAGCUCCAUCUUGCCGAAUCCAUACCCCUUCAACACACAGCUCGGCGACGACCCGGCCUGCGCGCAGGAGGCGCUGCUCGAGCUGCGCAAAGAUAUGAAGCGCAAGCACAAGUCCUCGCGUGGUGGCGGCGGCGAGUACAGCCCGAUGGAGGACUCCCUGCAGGUCUGCUACAGCGUUCAGCACAAGUUGGACUGGCGCAGCUACAACGAGAUCGCACAGCGCGUCAUUGGCAUCGACAACAGCUUCCCUGAGUGUUGGAUCACGCCGCUCCUGCAGUCGCUCUAUCUAUGCCAGCCGCCUGAGUUUCCCAUCCGCAAGGUCAUCCUGCGACACAUCUGCAAGCGGGAGUUCUGCAUGACGUGCGAGAUCGCCUUCAUCUUCGCCAACAUGCUGACCACGUCCGCGAGUGUGAUGGGGAUGAAGGGCGAGGCGCUGCCGCCGAUUGUGCCGGUGGCGCACUUCAUUCGGACGUUGCGGCAGAUCCGUGCCUUCGCGAAUACAGACGUGUUCCAGCGGCCAAAAAACCGCGAUGAUGCGGUGGCGAAGAUGCACCUGGCGCAGCGGCUGGUGCUGGAAACACUGCACAAGGAUCUGCAAGACCAGAAGGCGUACCCCUUCAUGAACUACGAAGCGCCGCCCGAGUACGAGGGCGCCAUCGCGGCUCUCUUUGGCACUGAGUUCACGUCAAACGGCCGCGUGCACAUUGAGCCGCGCUUCUACUGGGAGGUGCCCGGCUCCGCGCUCAAGGUGGAUGAGGGGCUGCAACACCUGCUGAAGCAGUUGGAGGGGUAUAAAGACCAGGUGCAGAUUAAGCGACUUCCACCCAUCAUUGUCCUGCUACUGAACCCGGAGCACAGCAACCUGAAGCCGCCAACGAGCCUCAAGAUUUCGCGUGCGGGCAAGGAGGACUACAAUUACGUGCUGAACAGCAAUAUCGUGCACCUCGCCGACGACGUGGAGGACACGGGCAACUUCGUCAGCCAGCAGCGCAUCAAGGAUGACAGCUUUUCACUCGUGAACGACUACCGCGUGACGGCGCCAAUGAAGAUGCAAGAGCUGGAGCGCCUGGUGCCCGCGCUGCGCUCCUACUCGGCUGUGGUCACCUUCUACGCCCUUGACAACCUCACCACGCCGCCGUACGCCCGCCUGGACGACUCGCGCACCCCGAACUUGUGGCAUCUACUUGGCCCUCUGCUGACAAACGACGUGCUGUCGCGUCCGCUGCUGCGAGACCCAGCGAAGCAGGCCUUCCGAUCGCCCUUGUCCUCGUACACGGAGAUCAGGGCUGGCGACCUCAUCGCCAUCGACGCGGAGUACGUGGUGCUCAAAUGGGCGAGCCGAGACGAGGGCAACGAGAUGUUCUACGUGUCGCAGCGCAAGCCGCACAUGGGCCUAGCCCGUGUGAGCUGCAUCCUGAGCAGCAAGGACGGCGAUGAGCGCACCAUCGUGGACGACUACGUGCACAUUCCCGAGGAGAUCGAGGACUACGUGACGCAGUACAGCGGCAUCCACCCCGGUGACCUCGACCCACUUGAGUCGUCCAAGAGCCUAACGUCGCUCAAGUCGACGUACCUGAAGUUGCGCGCGCUGGUCGACGGCGGCGUUGUCUUUGUUGGCCACGGCCUCGCUCAAGACUUUCGCGUGUGCAACAUCGUCGUGCCGCGCAAGCAGAUCAUCGACACACUCGAGAUAUUCCACAAGCCCGGGUCCCGGUACCUCUCGCUGCGCUUCCUGGCAUACCACGUGCUCGGCGAGAGCGUGCAGGAGGACGAGCACGACUCCAUCGAGGACGCCCGCACGUCACUGCGUCUCUACCGCAAGUACCAGCAGCUCAAGAGCGAGGGCACCUUCGAGGGCGUGCUGGACCAUCUGAUGGCAAAAGGUGCGGAGACGAGCUGGUACGUGCCCGAUACGAAGUCGUUGUUCCGAGACACCCCGCAGACCCCGCCAGUGUCCGUGAUGGGUUCACCUGUACUCGAGAAGAUGGCAAAGGCCGUCCCGGAGAACGACGAAAGAGACGUAAACACGUUUGACAUGGCUGCUGCUGCUGCUGCUGCGGUGGCGGCGACGACCGAAGGCGACGAGGAUGACGAGGACGGCGACGACGAUGCCCCCACUGCCAGCGAAGUGCUGGAGGCCGUGCGCAAGUCCAUGGAGCGUUAGGCGGAGCGGCAAGGGCGUACGCUAACCGCGCACGUGGUCAUUUUGUGUUGUGCCACGAGGUGUGCCGCUGCAUGGCGGAGUGCCUGUGCGUGUGGCACUGAGUCGGCAGGGAGCACAGUUUUUCGGUGCUUCGUUGAACUUUUCUUUCUUAUUGGUGCUCUCUCUCUCUCUCGCAUACGAACGCUUAUUUCGGCGCUUUUCUUCGCUGUGUUUCCUUGUAUUGCGGGCGUGUGCGGGGGUGCGCGUGCAUCUCGUGGCGCGGCAUAUCUCUCUUUCUCUCUCUCCCUGUGCGCGCGUGUGCGUGUCGGGGUUUCAUGUCUCUGUAUGCGUGACUCCCUCUACGUUUCUGCCACUGUUUUUUUUUUUUCGAUAAUGCCGACACCAAAUUGCAGCACCGCGCUGAGCGGGCGUGAUCGUGAGACCAAGCUCCAUCGUGGGCCUGCCCCCUCCCUCACUCUGGCCUCUAACGGGCGCGAC
RNAcentral lists this unclassified non-coding RNA (4594 nucleotides) under Leishmania donovani. RNAcentral's name for it is "gene:LdHU3.30.0390(CDS-product:ubiquitin_hydrolas e_putative)". The record is from RNAcentral. Lineage: Eukaryota; Euglenozoa; Kinetoplastea; Trypanosomatida; Trypanosomatidae.